The sequence is a ribosomal RNA, 1584 nucleotides long. It matches the Rfam family "Archaeal large subunit ribosomal RNA", at positions 1423 to 2973 of the family's 2987-position model. The record is from Rfam.
CACCGAAUGCCUAAGGUUUCCUGAGGAAGGCUCGUCCGCUCAGGGUUAGUCGGGACCUAAGCCGAGGCUGAAAAGCGUAGGCGAUGGACAACAGGUUGAUAUUCCUGUACCACCUAUACAUCGUUUGAGCGAUGGGGGGACGCAGAAGGAUAGGGUAAGCGCGCUGUUGGAUAUGCGCGUCCAAGCAGUUAGGCCGGAAACGAGGAAAAUCCCGUUUCCAUCAAGGCGGAGCUGUGAUGGCGAGGGAAAUAUAGUACCGAAGUUCCUGAUUCCACGCUGCCAAGAAAAGCCUCUAGUGAGAUGUAGGGUGCCCGUACCGCAAACCGACACAGGUAGGCGAGGAGAGAAUCCUAAGGUGUGCGAGAGAACUCUCGUUAAGGAACUCGGCAAAAUGACCCCGUAACUUCGGGAGAAGGGGUGCUUUUUAGGGUGAAUAGCCCGGAAAAGCCGCAGUGAAUAGGCCCAGGCGACUGUUUAGCAAAAACACAGGUCUCUGCGAAGCCGCAAGGCGAAGUAUAGGGGCUGACGCCUGCCCGGUGCUGGAAGGUUAAGAGGAGAGGUUAGCCGCAAGGCGAAGCUUUGAAUUGAAGCCCCAGUAAACGGCGGCCGUAACUAUAACGGUCCUAAGGUAGCGAAAUUCCUUGUCGGGUAAGUUCCGACCCGCACGAAAGGCGUAACGAUCUGGGCACUGUCUCAACGAGAGACUCGGUGAAAUUAUAGUACCUGUGAAGAUGCAGGUUACCCGCGACAGGACGGAAAGACCCCGUGGAGCUUUACUGCAGCCUGAUAUUGAAUUUUGGUACAGCUUGUACAGGAUAGGUAGGAGCCUGUGAAGCCGGAGCGCUAGCUUCGGUCGAGGCGUCGGUGGGAUACUACCCUGGCUGUAUUGAAAUUCUAACCCGCGCCCCUUAUCGGGGCGGGAGACAGUGUCAGGCGGGCAGUUUGACUGGGGCGGUCGCCUCCUAAAAUGUAACGGAGGCGCCCAAAGGUUCCCUCAGAAUGGUUGGAAAUCAUUCGUAGAGUGUAAAGGCACAAGGGAGCUUGACUGCGAGACCUACAAGUCGAGCAGGGACGAAAGUCGGGCUUAGUGAUCCGGUGGUUCCGCAUGGAAGGGCCAUCGCUCAACGGAUAAAAGCUACCCCGGGGAUAACAGGCUUAUCUCCCCCAAGAGUCCACAUCGACGGGGAGGUUUGGCACCUCGAUGUCGGCUCAUCGCAUCCUGGGGCUGUAGUCGGUCCCAAGGGUUGGGCUGUUCGCCCAUUAAAGCGGUACGCGAGCUGGGUUCAGAACGUCGUGAGACAGUUCGGUCCCUAUCCGUCGUGGGCGCAGGAAAUUUGAGAGGAGCUGUCCUUAGUACGAGAGGACCGGGAUGGACGCACCGCUGGUGUACCAGUUGUUCUGCCAAGAGCAUCGCUGGGUAGCUACGUGCGGACGGGAUAAAUGCUGAAAGCAUCUAAGCAUGAAGCCCCCCUCAAGAUGAGAUUUCCCAUAGCGUAAGCUAGUAAGAUCCCUGAAAGAUGAUCAGGUUGAUAGGUCAGAGGUGGAAGCGUGGCGACAUGUGGAGCUGACUGAUACUAAUCGAUC